CAAUAGCGUAUAUUAAAGUUGUUGCAGUUAAAAAGCUCGUAGUUGGAUUUCUGGUUGAAGCGACCGGUCGGGCGUUGAUUCGUCUGCACUGGAGUCGGUUUUGGCCAUCCUCUAGGAAAGUGCGUCUGGUAUUAAGUUAUCGGGCGUAUGAUCCUGGUCUUUUACUGUGAAAAAAUUAGAGUGUUUAAAGCAGGCCUUCGCCUUGAAUACAUUAGCAUGGAAUAAUAAGAUAGGACUUUGGUCUAUUUUGUUGGUUUGCAGACCGAAGUAAUGAUUAAUAGGGAUAGUUGGGGGUAUUUAUAUUCCGAUGUCAGAGGUGAAAUUCUUAGAUUUUCGGAAGAUAAACUUAUGCGAAAGCAUUUACCAAGGAUGAUUUCAUUAA
Molecule: ribosomal RNA, 382 nt
Filed under: uncultured eukaryote
Lineage: Eukaryota
Description: partial 18S ribosomal RNA
Rfam family: Eukaryotic small subunit ribosomal RNA
Source: RNAcentral